This is a non-coding RNA of Pelobates cultripes (western spadefoot toad), 338 nucleotides long. Lineage: Eukaryota; Metazoa; Chordata; Amphibia; Anura; Pelobatidae. The record is from the annotation of a GenBank genome assembly.
GUGAGAUUUAGGCACCUGGGUAAUUGCAGACUCCUUAUCAGCUAUAUGCCAGGAAUACUACUUCUUUCACCAUUUCAAACUGUCAGAAGUACCUAGACCCUCGUUCAUCGCUUCAGCAGUCUAGACAGAAAUCGCCAUUUCACCGCCGCUCUAAACCAUGCUGCCGAGAGCUCAACUUCUCUUUGCCAGGCUUCCUUGACUCCUCCCCUGGAUGCUUCCGGGAGCGUGCUUACAUCAUCCCGGCGCAAACCCUCUCCUGGCCUUGAUCUCUCCUCAGGGCAGCCCUCUACUCUCUCCUCCAGCUCUGCCUCACUCCCACUUUGAUAUUUCCUGUCCUA